UCUUUGUUGUUCAGCUGGUAGAGCUCUCCACUGGAAAUGGAGAGGUCCCUGGUUCGACACCAGGACCAGGCG
RNAcentral lists this transfer RNA (72 nucleotides) under Ixodes scapularis (black-legged tick). RNAcentral's name for it is "tRNA-Ser for anticodon GGA". It matches the Rfam family "tRNA". From Rfam's summary of the family: Transfer RNA (tRNA) molecules are approximately 80 nucleotides in length. Their secondary structure includes four short double-helical elements and three loops (D, anti-codon, and T loops). Lineage: Eukaryota; Metazoa; Arthropoda; Arachnida; Ixodida; Ixodidae. The record is from RNAcentral.